GACAGUCAUGUUUGGUUUUACGUAUUGAACAAGAAUAUAUUUUAAGUUUUCAGUUUCGACCCCAUUUGGUCACCGAAAACUGUACCGAACUGUAAUCUUUAUCAGAUAGCUGUCGGAUUUUAUUUCUCACUCUACGGGUGUCAGAAAAAUAUGAACUUUAAAUCUAGCCUUAUAAAAAUAUUUCUGACUUAUCCUCCAAUUUUCAUAAUUUUCUGAGACUGUGCAUUUUCUGCUAAUUUAUCUGUCCCGUUUCUAACAGAAAAUUCUAAAUCUUCUGUUUUCAUUCCGAUUUCAGCACAAGUCACUUCUGACUUAUGUUUUACUUCUACAAAUCCAAUAAAAAUAGUUUCUCACACUAUUUUUGUUUAUUUUUAUUUUUAUACCAAAAUCUGGUAUGUUACAGAAGGUAAGGAGGAUGAAGUCUUUCUUCUAGCUUCUUCUCCUUCUUCUUCUCCUUCUUCUUCUUCUUCUCCUUCUUUUCUUUCUAGAGAGAGAUAGAGUUUAGGGUUGAAAGGUGAGGGAGAAGAGAGAAAGACCCAAAUCCCCCUUCUAUACACUCUCAUAAAUGCAAAAUUGCUGAAAACCCCCUCAACAAUGCCUCUCUUGCAACAGCCCAAACUAGGCAUUUUCGGGCUACGGGGACCGGUCCUUGCAUGAGGGACUGGUCCCUGAGGGACCUAUCCCAGGCCGAGGGACCCGUCCCCGUAGGUCUCAAUUUCCAAACUUAGCCAAAUUUCAGCCUUUUUUCGUUUUCGCUCCGUUUUCGCUCGUUUUCGUUCGUUUGGUCUCCGAUUCAUUUCAAAUCGAACCGAGACUCUCCAAACAUAUUUUCAAGCGUAUUUUCAUCAUCUUUUCAUCCACGCUAAUGCCGGAUUUAGUUCACGGCCCAACAUAGCCUUUUGGGUUCCGUUUUCGCGCCUACGCGCACCGAAACGCCCGAAUGCACCCAAACUUCACCGAACUUCACUAGAACCAUUCAAAUGGCUUUCCAAAUCAACAUACGCCGUAACUUCAUAA
Molecule: long non-coding RNA, 1017 nt
Filed under: Ananas comosus (pineapple)
Lineage: Eukaryota; Viridiplantae; Streptophyta; Magnoliopsida; Poales; Bromeliaceae
Description: long non-coding RNA (ACOM_LNC029174)
Source: RNAcentral